UAAUACGUAGGGGGCAAGCGUUGUCCGGAUUUAUUGGGCGUAAAGCGCGUGUAGGCGGCCAGGUAGGUCCGUUGUGAAAACUCGAGGCUCAACCUCGAGACGUCGACGGAAACCCUCUGGCUAGAGUUCGGGAGAGGAGAGUGGAAUUCCCGGUGUAGCGGUGAAAUGCGCAGAUAUCGGGAAGAACACCCGUGGCGAAGGCGGCUCUCUGGAACGAUACUGACGCUGAGACGCGAAAGCGUGGGGAGCGAACAGGAUUAGAUACCCUGGUAGUCCACGCCGUAAACGAUGGGUGCUAGGUGUAGGCGGUGUCGACUCCGUCUGUGCCGAAGCUAACGCAUUAAGCACCCCGCCUGGGGAGUACGGCCGCAAGGCUA
Molecule: ribosomal RNA, 377 nt
Filed under: uncultured bacterium
Lineage: Bacteria
Description: bacterial SSU rRNA
Rfam family: Bacterial small subunit ribosomal RNA
Source: RNAcentral